RNAcentral lists this ribosomal RNA (402 nucleotides) under uncultured prokaryote. RNAcentral describes it as "bacterial SSU rRNA". It matches the Rfam family "Bacterial small subunit ribosomal RNA", at positions 355 to 774 of the family's 1533-position model. The record is from RNAcentral.
UAGGGAAUAUUAGAAAUGGACGAAAGUCUGAUCUAGCGACACCGCGUGUGCGAAGAAGGCCUUCGGGUUGUAAAGCACUUUUUGGAAGGAUUAGGAAGGAAUGUACUUCCAGAAUAAGCCACGGCUAACUACGUGCCAGCAGCCGCGGUAAUACGUAGGUGGCGAGCGUUAUCCGGAUUUACUGGGCGUAAAGCGUGUGUAGGCGGUUUGAUAAGUUGGAUGUGAAAGCUCCUGGCUCAACUGGGAGAGGCCGUUCUAAACUACAGAACUAGAGGAUGGUAGAGGGAGGUGGAAUUCCAGGUGUAGCGGUGGAAUGCGCAGAUAUCUGGAGGAACACCAGUGGCGAAGGCGGCCUCCUGGACCAUUCCUGACACUCAGACGCGAAAGCUAGGGUAGCAAACG